This 1314-nucleotide ribosomal RNA is filed under the name Triticum aestivum (bread wheat). RNAcentral describes it as "partial small subunit ribosomal RNA". Lineage: Eukaryota; Viridiplantae; Streptophyta; Magnoliopsida; Poales; Poaceae. The record is from RNAcentral.
AUGACCCCUAGAUCGAUGGAUCUCAUGGAUUCAGAAAGCCAAGCCAUGGAUUCGGCGUCGCUGCUGCCAGCAGAUGGAAGAAGGUUAGCCUGGAUGAGCCGCCUCCAUUCCUCGCCAGUGCACCCGCUGGACGACGAGGACCUCCUCCAGGAGAUUCUCCUCCGCCUGCCUCCUCAGCCAUCCUCUCUCCCCCGUGCUUCCCUCGUCUGCCCGCGCUGGCAUUGCAUCCUCUCCGACCCCAAGUUCAUCCAGCGCUUCCGUAGACACCAUCGGAAACCCCCGCUUCUCGGUUUCUUCUUCUCUGAAACGGGCUUUCCCACCGUCUUCAAUCCCGCUCUCGACCCACCCGAUCGAAUCCCCGCCGAGCGCUUCUCCUUGCCCAAGAAUAGAUUCAAUGCCAGCCAGCACUUUCUCGGUUGCCGCCAUGGCCUCGCCGUCCUAACCAACUUGCACCUCCGCGAGAUUAUCGUGUGGGAUCCCCUCAGCGGCCAACAACACCGCGUGGGUUUUCCAGCGGGGCUUGACAACAACAAAGUGACGUACUGGCAUGCCGAACUGUUGUGCGCUGAUGCCGAAGAUGGGCACGUGCACGGGGAUUGCUUCUCGAGCCCGUUCAAAUUGGUCGCAAUCUGGGUCGUCAGAUGCACGCAGGCAUUUGCUUGCCUCUAUGAAUCAGCAACCGGUGUAUGGGGAGACACUGUCUUCACGGAGGUUACAAAACAGAAUUAUAAUUAUAGCAUGAGGCCUGGCGUUCUUAUUGGGAAUGCACUUUGCUGGUUGCUUUCUGGAGGUGACGUUCUGGCAUUUUGUCUUCAAAGCCAGAGCCUUCAUGUGAUGAACAAGCCGUUGGAAAUCAAGUACACCUCCGGUUCUAUUCAGCUCUUAAGAACAGAGGAUUGUGGUGUUGGUCUCGCGUAUUUGUCAGAACUGACCAUUCAAUUAUGGGAGAGGAAAUCAAAUUGUCAUGGCGUGGUCGGCUGGGUGCUUCUGCAAAAAACUAUUCAAUUGCAGGAGCUCUUUCCACAAGGAAUGUUUAGUGAGAGGAAAAGGGUGCACAUAACAGGGUAUGCCGAGGAGACAAAUGCGAUUGUUCUGUCUGUGUUGAGAGACGACUUCAUGCUGCAAGUUGACACGAUGGAGAUCAAACAUAUUCAGAAAAGAAAAGGAGAUGGAUUUACCUUUCCGUACGCAAAUUUCUAUGUUGCAGGUAUGCAAGUUGAUGGUGGAGACAUAGGAGAUGAAAAUUGGGACGUAGUGGAUGAACUAAUGCACUAUCUCGGUGUCCCUGCUCAUCUUGAUGUUGAUGAGUUUUGA